GCGAAAACGCCACCACUAACUGCAUGAUGUUGCAGAUGUGAGGGAACCAACCAAGUUUUGCUAAACUAACUGGAGUGAUAGAAAUCGAUUUGCCUUGCACAUUUGCCUUGCACACGGCGGAUGAGGGAUCCAUCCCCGGCAACCC
RNAcentral lists this small nucleolar RNA (145 nucleotides) under Sorex araneus (European shrew). The record is from RNAcentral. Lineage: Eukaryota; Metazoa; Chordata; Mammalia; Eulipotyphla; Soricidae.